RNAcentral lists this signal recognition particle RNA (298 nucleotides) under Cebus imitator (Panamanian white-faced capuchin). Its description in RNAcentral is "Metazoan signal recognition particle RNA (ENSCCAG00000003889.1)". It matches the Rfam family "Metazoan signal recognition particle RNA". Rfam says of the family: The signal recognition particle (SRP) is a universally conserved ribonucleoprotein. It is involved in the co-translational targeting of proteins to membranes. The eukaryotic SRP consists of a 300-nucleotide 7S RNA and six proteins: SRPs 72, 68, 54, 19, 14, and 9. The record is from RNAcentral. Lineage: Eukaryota; Metazoa; Chordata; Mammalia; Primates; Cebidae.
GCUGGGCGCCGUGGCACAUGCCUGUAGUCCCAGCUACUCGGGAGGCUGAGGUGGAGGAUCUCUUGAGUCCAGGAGUUCUGGGCUGUAGUGCACUAUGCCAAUCAGGUGUCCGCACUAAGUUUGGCAUCAAUAUGGUGAUCUCCUGGGAGCAGGGGACCACCAGGUUGCCUAAGGCGGGGUGAACCAGCCCAGGUCGGAAAAGGAGCAGGUCAAAACUCCCGUGCUGAUCAGUAGUGGGAUUUCGCCUGUGAAUAGCCAUUGCACUCCAGCCUGGGCAACGUGGCGAGACCCCGUCUCU